RNAcentral lists this ribosomal RNA (1373 nucleotides) under uncultured bacterium. RNAcentral describes it as "bacterial SSU rRNA". It matches the Rfam family "Bacterial small subunit ribosomal RNA", at positions 28 to 1381 of the family's 1533-position model. The record is from RNAcentral.
GAUGAACGCUGGCGGCGUGCCUAAUACAUGCAAGUCGAGCGAACGGACGAGAAGCUUGCUUCUCUGAUGUUAGCGGCGGACGGGUGAGUAACACGUGGAUAACCUACCUAUAAGACUGGGAUAACUUCGGGAAACCGGAGCUAAUACCGGAUAAUAUUUUGAACCGCAUGGUUCAAAAGUGAAAGACGGUCUUGCUGUCACUUAUAGAUGGAUCCGCGCUGCAUUAGCUAGUUGGUAAGGUAACGGCUUACCAAGGCAACGAUGCAUAGCCGACCUGAGAGGGUGAUCGGCCACACUGGAACUGAGACACGGUCCAGACUCCUACGGGAGGCAGCAGUAGGGAAUCUUCCGCAAUGGGCGAAAGCCUGACGGAGCAACGCCGCGUGAGUGAUGAAGGUCUUCGGAUCGUAAAACUCUGUUAUUAGGGAAGAACAUAUGUGUAAGUAACUGUGCACAUCUUGACGGUACCUAAUCAGAAAGCCACGGCUAACUACGUGCCAGCAGCCGCGGUAGUACGUAGGUGGCAAGCGUUAUCCGGAAUUAUUGGGCGUAAAGCGCGCGUAGGCGGUUUUUUAAGUCUGAUGUGAAAGCCCACGGCUCAACCGUGGAGGGUCAUUGGAAACUGGAAAACUUGAGUGCAGAAGAGGAAAGUGGAACUCCAUGUGUAGCGGUGAAAUGCGCAGAGAUAUGGAGGAACACCAGUGGCGAAAGGCGACUUUCUGGUCUGUAACUGACGCUGAUGUGCGAAAGCGUGGGGAUCAAACAGGAUUAGAUACCCUGGUAGUCCACGCCGUAAACGAUGAGUGCUAAGUGUUAGGGGGUUUCCGCCCCUUAGUGCUGCAGCUAACGCAUUAAGCACUCCGCCUGGGGAGUACGACCGCAAGGUUGAAACUCAAAGGAAUUGACGGGGACCCGCACAAGCGGUGGAGCAUGUGGUUUAAUUCGAAGCAACGCGAAGAACCUUACCAAAUCUUGACAUCCUUUGACAACUCUAGAGAUAGAGCCUUCCCCUUCGGGGGACAAAGUGACAGGUGGUGCAUGGUUGUCGUCAGCUCGUGUCGUGAGAUGUUGGGUUAAGUCCCGCAACGAGCGCAACCCUUAAGCUUAGUUGCCAUCAUUAAGUUGGGCACUCUAAGUUGACUGCCGGUGACAAACCGGAGGAGGGUGGGGAUGACGUCAAAUCAUCAUGCCCCUUAUGAUUUGGGCUACACACGUGCUACAAUGGACAAUACAAAGGGCAGCGAAACCGCGAGGUCAAGCAAAUCCCAUAAAGUUGUUCUCAGUUCGGAUUGUAGUCUGCAACUCGACUACAUGAAGCUGGAAUCGCUAGUAAUCGUAGAUCAGCAUGCUACGGUGAAUACGUUCCCGGGUCU